Mirounga angustirostris (Northern elephant seal) is the source of this 3135-nucleotide long non-coding RNA. RefSeq lists it as uncharacterized. Lineage: Eukaryota; Metazoa; Chordata; Mammalia; Carnivora; Phocidae. The transcript is spliced from 2 exons. The record is from RefSeq and is a predicted model, not a curated record.
AUACCAUAGAUCUUAAAGCUGUAUGUACAUCAUUAAAUGAGGUGGUUUUCUUAUAUUUUUCCUGUUGUACUGACCCUUCACGGUUUGUAACUUUGAGUUAGUUGUUCUCUUUCCUUUGAAGGUAUAACCUAGUGGUUUCCAACCUGGCUAUGCAUCAGAACCACUUAGGAAGUUUUAAAACUAUAGAUGCUUGAGUUUCAUCCUCAUCUCCCAUCCGUAAAGAGUGGUUUAACCUUGGGUGAGGCUGCAGCGUCUCUUUUCAUGAUUUCCAGAUAAUAUCUUCUGAACACAUGGAACUUCAGAAGUUUUGUCUUGUUUUGUUCACAUGGUGGACAUUCACAAAUAUCACUGAAAAUAUGGAAGUAUAAUGGACAGGUGAGGCAACCCUUUGGGGCUAGGGAAGGCAUGGAAAAAUGAGGGAUGAGGUGCCAGAGCCCUCAGUGGUACCCCCAGGACAUUCACGAUGCAGACUCUCGUGGUAUUAACACACUGUACUGUCAUUACAGGAUUGUGUAUCUGUCUCCCUCAAUAGAUGAGCUGCCUGAGGACAGUGACUAACACUUCUAUAUGUUCUACACUUAAUAACUAUAAAUGCCAUGUGAAUGAAUGAAACCAUGUCCUCCUGAGGGCUCUGCAUUCUGAUAAUUAGCAAGCUGUUUUGUUACUGCAGAUUUUGCUAACAGUUCCAUAUUUAAAGUGCUUCUUAUCCUCCUGCUUAUAAAAUUUUUAUUAUUUGUGAAUAGUAUAUUAUAGGAACCAAAGAAGAAAAAUGACUUGGGAGAAAAGUAUGUUUCUGAGGCUUUCUUGACUUUUGAUUGUGGAAAAACUAUUUUCAACACAAGAUGGCAGUAGACCAUUAACUCUGAAAACCGGUCAAAGACUUAGUUUGACUCUAGUGAAGAUAAACAUGAAACUGAUAGUCAGGUUAGACAAGACUUGGCAAAGGCACGUUCUCUUUAUUAUUCCAUAGACCCACUGCUAAGACCUCUCACAGAGGUGAGUCUUUCUUACUAUAAAAGGCUUCCAUGGAGUGAGAUUUCUCUGGUUGCCUUGCCCCUCUGGCCUGUAACUCCCUUCAGUAGAAAUGGUGAGAUGGAGAUAAUAUAGGGCAAUUUCUUCUUUUUCCAAAUAAGACAACUAAAUACUAGAGAGAUGAAGUGAUUUGCCUACAGUGAUGCAGCUAGUAAGCAACAGUUGGUUGGUUCUAGGUCCCCUGACUUCCAAACUGGUGCUCCUCGUACUCUACCUGAACUCCUCCAUAGCACCUUGAAACUCAAGCCAGUUUCCUUUCCUCCAGUCAGGUAGUGCUGGAUAAUAGUCAUCUGUCUUUUACGUAAAUGACCCUUCACUUAAAAACUAUAGUGCUGCCUUCUGACCUUGUCUAAGUUAAGAGUCUUUAUUUCUUUGGCAUUUUCUGAACACAUGGAAGGUUUUUUUUGUUUUUUUGAAAGGUUAAUUAAAAAGUAGAAGUGUGUCAUUGAAUCACCGUAGAACCCUUCAGAAAUAACAGGAUUUCUUAGCAUGUAGAGGGAAAGAGAUUAAUACCCUAUUUGGAAUUACAGGACAAGUUCUCUUACCUGUCAUAACUGAAACCAAUAAUCAUCUGAAUUAUUAGAACUGUCUGAACCUAAUUUGAAAGCAGUUUUUAUUGCUCAGCUUUAUUCAUUAAAGCCAUUUUAUUUAAGUCAUAUUUCAUUGGUUUUUAUAAUACUUAUAUAAAUUAUGUAACUAUAAUCACAAAACAACUGCUAUAAACAGGUUGGGAAGAAACAAAAGUUUUGUUAAAAACAGGACCCAGCAGGUGGGAGAACUAGCCCGUGUGUGCAGCAGGCCCCGGGCAUGUCUAGCAAAAGCAGCGGAGAGCAUUGCUCAGUCCUGCAAGGCAGUUCAGACAGCUGGUACUGCAGACUGAUCAGUAAAAUGAUCAGUAAGCCAAUCUCUCAGUAACAUUGAUGUUUUUAUCGUACUACAAUAAAAUCAUACAUGAUAGUUGAGUUAAACAUCAUUCAUAAUUUAGUUACUGAUGACCUUAAAGAAGAAUCAGAUUUCUAAACAUUUCUUUAGAAAGGUACACACUUUUGUUCUAAAAAUAUGAUUAUAAGUAUUUGUGUUCAUGUGACAGGUGAAGAAAAUAGAUUUUGUUUUUAAUGAGCUCUAAUAAUGUAAGAACAUUUGAAUAUAGUUUGAACAUAAUUUGUUUUUUUAACAUUUUCAGAAGUUAUGCAUACAUAAAUUUGAGCUUCCAGGAAAGAAAUGAAGUUAGUGGAAUAAGUCUAACCAAGUUAGCUAUUUUUAUUUAAUAAAUAAAUAAAAGUAUCAAAAUUUCAUUCCUAACUUUUUGUGGGUCAAGGCAGUAAUUAAUAUGAAAAACCACUUGAGAAUUUCUAAACAUAACUAAUAAUGAAGCAGAGACUUUAAUACAUUGAAUUUUGUCCGUCUGACAGUGAUUUGUUCCAGCAUUUGAAUAUACUAAUACAUUCUACAUUUCAAGAGCUGUACUCUAGGAAAAAUGCUUCAAAAGAAAAUAGCUCAUAGGUACAGUGUUCCUAUUGGCAUUUGUUCCUGAUAAGAUGUUUGCAGUUACAAUAUUUUCCAGUAGCAAUCUGGAAAUGGUGACUUCACUCUCAUGGGAGUUUAAGUAAUUUUUAGGAUUAAAAAAAGAUAAUAUGCAUAUUUUGAUUCUUUGCAUUUUCAAGUUAAAUGUUUGAGGAGAAAAAGAAUGCACAUACAAAUAUAGGCUACAUGUAAUUCUGUAGUCUUAUUUUAACUAUCCACAUAAAUGGGUUCUUGAUUUUCUUUUCCUUUCUCUACCUACUCCUCCAGUUAGAUUAGACUUAGGAGAAGGGACAGGUGUAAGAGCCCAGCAGCAGAUGGGGAGCUGGGAGGGGUAGGGUAUUUAAGGAUGUCUAAGAAACUAAUUUAGAAGUAUCAAGCAGUAGUAGAUGGUUGUAUAUUUAUUUUUUUUAAUUUUGUUUCAUUAAUAGACUCUCUAUUUAUCUGAAAUGUACAAAUCUCCCUUUGCAUUUCACAGUGAGACUGAAAAUCCAUGUUUUAGGUUAUCUUUGAUUUUAACUUUGGUAUGAUUUAUGAAAUAUAGAUAUUCUGAAAAUACUUGCAUCUUAACAGUAUCUUAUG